AAUGGGAUUCCUCCUCUUAAUCCCUCUCCAGGCAUGCCCAGAGGUGACCUAGCGGCUGUCACAGCCUUGUCUUUGGGCAGAGGCGGAGGAGUGGGUACCGAGGCAGCAGGUUGCUGCCCACCCCAAAGCAUGAGGGGGGGUGAGUGGGUGCAUCUGAAUAAAAUACUAAGGCAAGUAAUACAAUACUAAGGAGGGCAGAGCUGGUAAAAAUGUCCAGAGCAUCUGUGGCAAUGUGGGCAAUGAGGUGACGCCGCAAGUGGCUGUCACUUAUUUUGAGGCUUAUUGUCUCUAGUUUGCUUAAGAAACCUUGUUCUUUCUGUCCCAGGAGCCCUUUUAGGAGUUGAAGCAUUUCUGCAACCCAAAUGUCUCUGAUCUGGCUCCAGCGGGGACACAGAAGCGAGUGCAGGGAGCAGAAUGGGACCCGUUGUGAGGAGGGGGAGCUGCUGGCCUCUGUGGGCUGAAAAGGUCUGAUUUAAAGGUAUGUCUUCCCAUGGGAUAAUAAAUCUCUCCGAGCAAGAUCUUCCUGAGCGAAGCCGGGAGGAGCAGCCAGAUGCCAGCAUGGAUGUAUGAUGAGCUGCGGACUUCCCCCUACCAUCUGAGCUCUGUUACCAGCCCGCAGCGCUCCUCCUGCCGACACCGAGCGCCUGUUCUUGCCGUCGCCCCCACACCCGGCGUCAUUAUGGUGCUGCCGUAUGGAGGGCUCAGCAGGCGACGUCUCGUUCACCAGGGCAUGGCCAGGGACCUUCUCCAUCCCUCCUGCAGCAGGGACCCCCGGCCAUGCAGGAACUCCCCCCCCCCCCAGAGCACAAGGAUCUGCCUUGCUCCAUGACUUGCAAGCAGCCUCUAGGGCUUCUUAGGAUUGCCCCUGUGCCCGCGGGUUUGGUCUGAAACAAGGCAAAAAAGGAGUUUGGGGAUGAAAUCCAGGUUCAGCCCCGUUGGGGUUGGGGAACGCUCCUCCAGAGAGCAGCUCCAGCCAAAUAAAAGCCAUCCCAGGGGUUUCA
RNAcentral lists this long non-coding RNA (1001 nucleotides) under Calidris pygmaea (Spoon-billed sandpiper). RNAcentral describes it as "lncRNA (ENSCPGG00000006291.1)". Lineage: Eukaryota; Metazoa; Chordata; Aves; Charadriiformes; Scolopacidae. The record is from RNAcentral.